Molecule: ribosomal RNA, 403 nt
Filed under: uncultured bacterium
Lineage: Bacteria
Description: partial 16S ribosomal RNA
Rfam family: Bacterial small subunit ribosomal RNA
Source: RNAcentral
GACGAACGCUGGCGGCGUGCCUAAUACAUGCAAGUCGAACGCAGUGGGGACGGGUGAGUAACACGUGGGUAACCUCCCAUCAGAGGGGAUAACACUUGGAAACAGGUGCUAAACCGAUACUGAUGGAUGGACCCGCGGUGUAUUAGCUAGUUGGUGAGGUAACGGGUCACCAAGGCCACGAUGCAUAGCCGGCCGGAGAGGGUGAUCAGCCACACUGGGACUGAGACACGGCCCAGACUCCUACGGGAGGCAGCAGUGGGGAAUCUUCGGCCAUGGACGAAAGUCUGACCUAGCAACGCCGCGUGAGUGAAGAAGGUUUUCGGAUCGUAAAGCACUGUUGUUAGGGAGGCGGUAUCUAACCAGGAAGCCACGGCUAACUACGUGCCAGCAGCCGCGGUAAUAC